This 469-nucleotide ribosomal RNA is filed under the name uncultured bacterium. Its description in RNAcentral is "partial 16S ribosomal RNA". It matches the Rfam family "Bacterial small subunit ribosomal RNA", at positions 28 to 507 of the family's 1533-position model. The record is from RNAcentral.
GAUGAACGCUGGCGGCGUGCUUAACACAUGCAAGCCGAACGGUGAACACGGAGCUUGCUCUGUGGGAUCAGUGGCGAACGGGUGAGUAACACGUGAGCAACCUGCCCCUGACUCUGGGAUAAGCGCUGGAAACGGCGUCUAAUACUGGAUAUGUGACGUGACCGCAUGGUCUGCGUUUGGAAAGAUUUUUCGGUUGGGGAUGGGCUCGCGGCCUAUCAGCUUGUUGGUGAGGUAAUGGCUCACCAAGGCGUCGACGGGUAGCCGGCCUGAGAGGGUGACCGGCCACACUGGGACUGAGACACGGCCCAGACUCCUACGGGAGGCAGCAGUGGGGAAUAUUGCACAAUGGGCGCAAGCCUGAUGCAGCAACGCCGCGUGAGGGAUGACGGCCUUCGGGUUGUAAACCUCUUUUAGCAGGGAAGAAGCGAAAGUGACGGUACCUGCAGAAAAAGCGCCGGCUAACUACGUG